UGGCGGCGGCCCGAGGGGCGGUGCGUGCCGCCGGGGGUGGGGUGUCACCGCUGGGAAAGGUAUCGGGAAAACGCAGCCCGAGCGGGCGGCUUUCCCCUCAGCGGACGAGGAGCGGCCGCGGGGCGCGGGCUGAGCCUCGCUUGCUCCAGGCGCUGAAGGCGUCGAGUGCCGACGUUAAGUGGCAAUCAAUUUAUCGCCAUAAAAACUUGGAAGGAUAGCCGCUGCAAUGUGAAACAUUUCUCCUAUUGCUUUUUUAAUUUUUUUUUUUUAAAGAACACGUUUUCAGUCGUUAGAUUAAUCGAUAUUCAAACCAGCAUUUCUCUUUAAAGAGAGCCUCCAGUAAAGCUCUCUGGGCCUUAUUUGGGGCUUCUCUGCAGAGGGAGGCUUGUGCUGCAUAAUCCGAGGCUGCAGCUCAGCCGAAGUCACAUCAACAGCAAGGGCAAAGGAAAAGCAGCACUGCUGGGCAGCCUCUCCUAAACACCAAAUAAGAAAAGAACAACAUACAAAGGCUGCAGCUACUGAUGCCUUCCAGGGAGAGGUGUGUAAUUGCCAUUUCCAUUUCAAUCUGCUACAAGGAACCCUAGAAGGUUGAAACAGAAAUCUCCGUGUCCUCAGAAAACCACAAUUCAGUACGUGAUUUAUGAACAUGAAUCACACUUUUCAAAUUCUCAUGGAGUAGCCUUUCCCACAUGUGUCACAUUUAAACCAGAAGAGUCCUCUGAUGCACACGCAGUUUACGUGACUUUAAUAGGAUUCAUAGCCAAACUGUUGGCCCAGGAGAAACAGGUAUCAACAUCAGCAUUCUUGCCAGCAGCAGAGCUCAUUGCUAGCUUGCAGCAUGUGAGGCUCCGUUGGACAAUCCAAUGUCGUGUGAAACUCAAAUGCAGUAUUGCUAUCUGAGAAGAAUCAAUGCUGAGACAUCUCCCCAGGACACUCCUGUCAGAUAUGUAUCUUUCAAGACUAUCUUUUCAAAAUAAACUGAGGUGGAUUUCUUGCCCUCUCUUAUGA
Chrysolophus pictus (golden pheasant) is the source of this 1008-nucleotide long non-coding RNA. The record is from Ensembl. Lineage: Eukaryota; Metazoa; Chordata; Aves; Galliformes; Phasianidae.